Molecule: RNase P RNA, 337 nt
Filed under: Acholeplasma sp.
Lineage: Bacteria; Bacillati; Mycoplasmatota; Mollicutes; Acholeplasmatales; Acholeplasmataceae
Description: RNase P RNA component class B
Rfam family: Bacterial RNase P class B
About the family: Ribonuclease P (RNase P) is a ubiquitous endoribonuclease, found in archaea, bacteria and eukarya as well as chloroplasts and mitochondria. Its best characterised activity is the generation of mature 5'-ends of tRNAs by cleaving the 5'-leader elements of precursor-tRNAs.
Source: RNAcentral
AAUGGAAGGUAGCCGAGCUUAUUAAAUAAGUUAGGAAAGUCCAUACUAGCACACUCUGUGAUUGAGUGUAGUGUUUGUGUGUAAGGAAACAAUAACUUACAGCACCAUUUGGUGACGGCUUCUGAUGUUCUAAGGUCUUUGACUAUGAACUAAGAGUAAAGUGCCACAGAAACGAUUUUGUUAGAAAUAACAAGGUGAAACGCGGUAAACCCCUCAAGCUAGCAACCCAAAUUAUGGUAGGGGCACGUUAAAGGUCGAAUAAGAAGAUACUUUAAUGCUACUACGGUAGAGAUAAAUGGCUACAACCCGUAAGGGAUACAGAAUAUGGCUUAUGCAC